UCGAGGCUCCGCCCCCUAACAUUUCCCCGGGCUCCUCCCCACAGUCUAUCAGGUCAACCCACCGAAGACGUUAAGGUCCACCUAAAGGCCCCCACCACUGAAUACGGCUUCGCUGGAGACCACGCCGUCAACACAUAAGCCCACGAAGGUCGUUUCCAACCCCAGCCAUAACAACCUUCUAAGAUCACCAGCAAACAACGCAUAUCGCGCACCCAACAAGAGCAGCUAGGCUUUGCUCUCGUGGCCCAUUCCAGGAGGCCGCAGCUGAGAGAAGCUACCGUCUGCACGUAGCUCAGCAGGAUGACCGGGAGACAGAAAGAUAGGCUCUGGUCUGUUUCUACCCGUGAUUCUUGAGCAAAACAAAUCACAGGGCCAUACCGAAUGGGAAAUCUAUAGCAACAUGAAACCCACCCACCGCAGGCCUGGGAAGGGGAGGAGAGGAAAUACUAACGAGAAGACAGCAGGGUUUCCUGACCCAUGCAGCAGUGCUGACUUCCUCGUGUGUCUGUGGGAAAGAGUACAAGAAUCAAUGAACACAAGUUCUCCAAACAGCACACAUUAAUUCCUCAGUAAGUAAGUGUGUUCUGAGCACAGUAGGGGUCGAUUUUUUUUGUCUCAACACAUGUGUUAUUUACUCGACUCAUGGCUACGACAAAAACAACCUAAAGAAAGAAGGGCUCACUUUGAUUCGGUUCGAGCAUCUUGGCCAGUACAUCAAGGUCCCCUGAUAAAAGUCUGCUGAUUCGCCUCAAGUCCUCUCCUCUGCUUCUUCCUCCCUUCGGCUCCAUCUCACUCCCAUGUCGCAGCACCUGCUUAUCCUGAGCUGAGCAUCCUGGGUGUAGAACCUUUACCUACACCACCACGACUGCCUUAUUACAACAAGCUCAGCCCCUGCUGCCGUAGCCCCAUCGUCCUAACUUUAAGAACAGAUCCAUCAAGCCCCUUACCCACGACUACAGUGGUUUUCUGUACCUGGAUGUACUCCCGUGCCGAACAGGAUCAGAGGCCGCCCCAAAUUCGCUACUUUGGCAUGUUGAUUCCUCUGAGCUGAAGACAACUGAGACAUAGCAGAGGUAGGAAGACUUCUCUGCUCUCUCCCUUUCUGCAGAAAUCCCUAGUGUCUCUCCGCAUUUCUCCUGUCCCGGGAUGAAGAGCUGCUUCAUAUCUGGGGAUGUCACCAACCUGAACCUGCACACACAGGUGUCACUGAAACAACGCUUAGCCUUCAUUGGGCACCCUCCGCGUGCUUACCUUCCCACAACUUACCUCUAAAAGUCCAGCCUCUUUCCUUUGUCUCAUAAGUUCUCCACAGCUGUAUUGCUAUUUACUAAAAUAGUACAAACUCUCA
Molecule: long non-coding RNA, 1348 nt
Organism: Myodes glareolus (Bank vole)
Lineage: Eukaryota; Metazoa; Chordata; Mammalia; Rodentia; Cricetidae
Source: RefSeq, a predicted model, not a curated record